GGUGUUCCCGAGCGGCCAAAGGGAGCAGACUGUAAAUCUGCCGUCAUCGACUUCGAAGGUUCGAAUCCUUCCCCCACCACCA
Molecule: transfer RNA, 82 nt
Filed under: Escherichia coli
Lineage: Bacteria; Pseudomonadati; Pseudomonadota; Gammaproteobacteria; Enterobacterales; Enterobacteriaceae
Description: tRNA-Tyr
Rfam family: tRNA
About the family: Transfer RNA (tRNA) molecules are approximately 80 nucleotides in length. Their secondary structure includes four short double-helical elements and three loops (D, anti-codon, and T loops).
Source: RNAcentral